Molecule: ribosomal RNA, 486 nt
Filed under: uncultured bacterium
Lineage: Bacteria
Description: partial 16S ribosomal RNA
Rfam family: Bacterial small subunit ribosomal RNA
Source: RNAcentral
AUUGAACGCUGGCGGCAUGCCUUACACAUGCAAGUCGAACGGCAGCACGGGUGCUUGCACCUGGUGGCGAGUGGCGAACGGGUGAGUAAUACAUCGGAACAUGUCCUGUAGUGGGGGAUAGCCCGGCGAAAGCCGGAUUAAUACCGCAUACGAUCUACGGAUGAAAGCGGGGGACCUUCGGGCCUCGCGCUAUAGGGUUGGGCGAUGGCUGAUUAGCUAGUUGGUGGGGUAAAGGCCUACCAAGGCGACGAUCAGUAGCUGGUCUGAGAGGACGACCAGCCACACUGGGACUGAGACACGGCCCAGACUCCUACGGGAGGCAGCAGUGGGGAAUUUUGGACAAUGGGCGAAAGCCUGAUCCAGCAAUGCCGCGUGUGUGAAGAAGGCCUUCGGGUUGUAAAGCACUUUUGUCCGGAAAGAAAUCCUUGGCCCUAAUACGGUCGGGGGAUGACGGUACCGGAAGAAUAAGCACCGGCUAACUACGUG